RNAcentral lists this non-coding RNA (23 nucleotides) under Cricetulus griseus (Chinese hamster). Lineage: Eukaryota; Metazoa; Chordata; Mammalia; Rodentia; Cricetidae. The record is from RNAcentral.
UGUCAGGUAAUUCGAAUGUGGGA